CGGCAGGUAGCGCAGCUAACGCGUGAAGUUGACCGCCUGGGGAGUACGGUCGCAAGAUUAAAACUCAAAGGAAUUGACGGGGACCCGCACAGCGGUGGAUGAUGUGGAUUAAUUGAUGCAACGCGAAAAACCCUUACCUACCCUUGAUAUGUCUGAAUCCCGAAGAGAUUUGGGAGUGCUCGCAAGAGAACCGGAACACAGGUGCUGCAUGGCUGUCGUCAGCUCGUGUCGUGAGAUGUUGGGUUAAGUCCUGCAACGAGCGCAACCCUUGUCAUUAGUUGCUACGAAAGGGCACUCUAAUGAGACUGCCGGUGACAAACCGGAGGAAAGCGUGUGGAUGACGUCAAGUCCUCAUGGCCCUUAUGGUAGGGGCUUCACACGUCAUACACGAUGGGACAGAGGGUCGCUAACCCGCGAGGGGGAGCCAAUCCCAGAAACCUGAUCGUAGUCCGGAUCGUAGCCUCGCAACUCGACUGCGUGAAGUCGGAAUCGCCAGUAAUCGUGGAUCAGCAUGUCGCGGUGAAUACGUUCCUCGGGUCUUGUACACACCGCCCGUCACACAUGGGAGUGGGUUUUACCAGAAGUAGUUAGCCUAACCGUAAGGAGGGCGAUUACCACGGUAGGAUUCAUACCCAGUAGAAGUCGUAACAAGGUA
Molecule: unclassified non-coding RNA, 655 nt
Filed under: uncultured Bordetella sp.
Lineage: Bacteria; Pseudomonadati; Pseudomonadota; Betaproteobacteria; Burkholderiales; Alcaligenaceae
Description: partial 16S-23S ribosomal RNA intergenic spacer
Rfam family: Bacterial small subunit ribosomal RNA
Source: RNAcentral